RNAcentral lists this ribosomal RNA (25 nucleotides) under Isomucor trufemiae. Its description in RNAcentral is "partial 28S ribosomal RNA". Lineage: Eukaryota; Fungi; Mucoromycota; Mucoromycetes; Mucorales; Mucoraceae. The record is from RNAcentral.
CUUGAUCUGAAAUCAGGUGGGAUUA